RNAcentral lists this long non-coding RNA (4963 nucleotides) under Sus scrofa (pig). RNAcentral's name for it is "lncRNA (ENSSSCG00000059213.1)". The record is from RNAcentral. Lineage: Eukaryota; Metazoa; Chordata; Mammalia; Artiodactyla; Suidae.
AAUAAAAAUGGGAUUACCUUAUUUUUAUCAUGCUAGCUCUGAAGAGGUAGUCAAGUUGACAAAAGAAAAAGUGAGAUGUAUUUUGAGAAGGGGGAAGGCAGAAUAGCUUAAGUCAGCUUCAUUUUUUUAAGUGUCCAAGUACAGAGACUCCCGUUGCUUUGUCUGACUGAGGCCUUUAAUUUUGUGCCUGUAUUUGGAGGCUGAAUGCCUCUGUGCAUCAGCCUUUCUGCCUAUGAAAUAAGGCUAAUAAUACAGAUGUAGCACUGAGCAAAGCCAUAAGGAUUAAUUAAUAAAACAUGAUUGCUAAACCCACUGCAAACAUGAAGCAUGGUCUGAAGCUACUUGGCUAGAAAGUAAUAAAGUGAAGCCUCUAAAAGAUCUUGGUGGGGCUGCUGCAGGCUGAGUGCCUUACUGCAUCUUUCCAGCAUCCAGGCGAGCACGGCCUGCUCUGUGCCCUCACCAUGGAGAUCUUACCCCAAUCCCACACCACAAGUGCCUCCCUGAGGGCUCAAUACCCACAUGUGCUUCUCUCUCCUUCCACUGCACCUGCUGUUCCUCUGAAUGCUGGCUCAUCUCAGGUGCUGGAUUUUGAUUCCACCUUUCUCACAAUGGUAUUUCUCCUCUCAAUUGUCUCAGCAAAAACUGUUCUUCCUAUAGUAGAAAGAAGUCCCCAUCAUGCUCUUCACCCAGCAAAGUGGCAGGCCUUGCUGCUGCUUCUUCCUCACCUCUCUAGUAUCUGUCUGUCUGUCUGUUUGUGUCUGUCUCUCCCCUCCCUCUGUGCCCACAAAUGUGCAUGUGGUAAGAUUACAAUGAUUGAUUGAGUACCGCGUGACAAGAGAGAAUACCUUCUCCAGGAAGUGGAUUCUAAAAUACUAAUUGGGCUCAGUUAAAAAAAUUCAAUUUCAUUGAAACAACUAUUUAUCACACAUGUGUUUCUGGAAAACACUGCACACGCUAUAGUGUGGAACAAGGUGACAAGCUCAGGCCCUUGCCCUCAAGGAACAAUAACUUAAGCAGAGCCACGAUGAUCUAUAAGACAUAAGAAAGAGAAAGAUAGAUAUCAUCCUAAUAAAAGGAAGGAAGGAUAGAUGAAAAGAAUAGACAGAAAGAAGCCUUACAUCUAUAGAGUGACAGGCAUGUCCCCAUCGGAACACUAAAUGCUUCCAUAUACGUUACUGAAGUGAAACUUUCCAACUACUCUAUGGGGUAGUAUCAUUUUUACCAUGUUAAAAGCAACAAUCAGAAAAGUAAUUUUCCUAAUUUGUCAGUUUUUAUGGUAGAGUAUGAAGUCAAGAGCACAUUCACAAUACAAAAUCUAGGGUUCUGUUGGUAGUGGCAAAUACACCACUACUCAGAGCUAUGCAAGAAAUAACACAUUAUAUAAAUUAAAAUAUAGAGUAUAAAUCUUUGAGGGGAUUGGUGUGAAUACUUUUAAACUGUCAGCAUUACAUUAACCCAUGCAGUUGCACAGCUGCUAAGUGGCUAACUGGAAACACGUUCUAAGAAUAAUAUGACAUGAAGCAGCACCCCAACUUCUCUAAUAGGUAUCAGAACAAGUAGUUUAGGAGUUCCCGUUGUGGCUCAGUGGGUUAAGGAUCCAGCAUUUCCAUGAGCUGCAGUAUAGGUCACAGACGCAGCUUGGAUCUGUCAUUGCUGUGGCUGUGGCAUAGACUGGCAGCUACAGCUCUGAUUUGACCCCCAAUACAACUGAAUGUCAUGAACCACAACUUUUAAAAGGAUAUGAAACUAGAAUGUAUUACAGGAAUAAGUAAAACAUGCACAAUUUAUAAGGUAGGAUUCGAUGUUAAAGAUAAUCCAUCUUAGCUAAGAUAAACGGCCAAGGUGUUAAUACCUAAAGGUGUUAACACCUAUUUUCUAAUAUUAUUUUAAUUAAUUUAAUUUUCCAUUAAAUAUCAAAUGAGUAGCCUACUGUCUAUUUCAGAGCAGACAGGGCAUCUGAUAUUCUUAGUAGCUGUGAUUUUCCCUAAGGGUUUAAUGAGUCUGUGUAAUAUUUGUACAAAGUAAUAUUAUCAUUAUCAUAAAUGUUUUCUAAUUAUUUCUUGGGAUUAAUGGAAACAUGCUGUAUUAUUGAUGGAUUAAGUACAAUAUUUAUAAAACAGUGAUAGGAUUAAAGAGAAAUAAAUAUGUAUAUCUUUCUGCAUGUGUAAAUAAUAAAUAUUAAUUCUCGUCAUCAAUUUUGUGCAAAGUGGUUUAGUACAUACUAAUAACUACUAAAUAGUUCAGUUAUCUGUUGUGGAUUUGAGGUAUGAACAGGCUGCUUUUUUAUCCACAAGCUAAAGGAAUUCGGUAAAGUCCUUGAGGACUGUAAAAGGCCAGGAUCUGAGACAUGGACUCAAGAAAUAACUGUAGGAUUUUCAGAAAAUAAAGGAAAUAUACCCAAUAAACUUUCAAGGGGAAGGAACUUCAAAAACUUCUCUCGACAAUGAAAAUAAAGAACUUUUACCAAGAAAAAAUUAAAAUCCCAAGAUGUAUCAUAAAUCUACACAGCAAAUAGUCAUGUGUAUACAGUUUUGGUUGACAUAUAUGCAUAUUAUUUAUAAUAUAGAGGCUCUUUAACACCAUGUUUUGACCUGUGUGAUCUAUUCUUUUCUCUAUACCAUUUGUGCAAGCUUCCUGCAGACAGCAUUGAAGCAUUUAUGUGACAGACUGUAAACCAACCAGGACUGGAAGACAGAAGAUAUGGCUUGGAAUUUAGACUGCAGCGUAAGGGCUGAGAGACGUUUGGAGACAGUAAUGGUGUGCAUCACUAGCUUAUUCUCUUGCCAUCAUUUUCAAUAACUAGGUCAAUCCUUUAUGGCAAGGACUUGGUUUUGAUAUAAAUGCAAAGCUAUUUAUCCUCCAGAACGGAAAAGUGUAAUACCUUUUAAGCCUAAGAUAUGAACCAUUCAAGAAACAUAUGUUUGCUGAUGAGGUUUUGAAGAAAUUACAACAGUGAACUGAUGGAAAUCACUUACACAAAUAGAUUCAUAAGAGACUACCAAAGUGAUAAUACAGUUUUAAAUCACAAUGCCAUCUUUGGUAGGUGUAGAGUUGUUUUUCCUUUGAAUUAAUUUAUUCUAAGAUAAGACAUAAUGGUUCAGGAAUUAGAAAAAAAAAUACGAAAGCUCUUUGCUUUCUAUUCUAGUUUAUGAAUACAUAGGAGUUUGAGUAGCAUAACCUUCCUGUAUUUCCCAUUUGAUUAACAGGAUCAAUUUAAUUUCUGUUUUAAAUAAGUCUGUUUCUAACACAUUAUUCCCUCUUCCUAUGGGCAAAGUUGUUGUCAGUAACUCACGGUUCAUUAUCCUAGUCCUAAGAGAUUUGUUAAGAGUAGAAUAACAUCAGUUGAAGAGAAAACAUUUACAAAAUUAGAUUAUAAAGUCUAGGUCUCAGCAUCCAGGUUGAUUUUUACCAGAAAGUAAUCCAAACAGUGUGGACUUUCCAGUAGUUUGCCAGGGUGACAGGUGGCUGUGUAAUGACAUGCACAGAUGUUUGUGAAUACAGGAGGCAUUUCUGGGUCACCCCAGAAGUUUGAGCCUUCACCCCAGGCAUCCCAAAGGUGCAAGCAACCUUUCCAAACCUUCACCUGUCCCAGAGGAUCCAGAAUGCCCAUGACCCAAAGUUUGCUAAAGCAUCUGUUCUUAUUGCAGGGCUAACUUUUAAAAAAUGGUCAUGUUGCCAGAUCAACAUGAGAAUAAAUAUUGUUUCUUAAUGUAAAGGAAUUUGUAAAAACCUGUCCAAGCAAGAAAUGAUCAUUUAUGCUUUUUGCUGUUUAUGGGAAAUAAGGUUUAGUAUCAUAUUUCUCUAAGCAAUUUUAAGUCCUGUUUAUAUUUCCAAUCUAAUUUAGUUCACAAAACAUAUGUCUAAUCAGCUUAUUAGUGCUCCAUGGCCACCCAAAUUGAGAAUAAAGGCACCCUCUAAGUAUCUAAGAUGCCUGAUUAACUGGUACCCAGGCAACAAGAGUGAUGAAAACAGGUACAAAUCAAAUUCAAGAGGCAGAAAGUAGAGCGAUCAGGGCUGCAGAAGAUUGGUGAUCUGUGUGUAGGUUGCCUCUUGGAAAUCUUAUUCAUCACCAGAGUCAGAUUUAAUCAGGAUUGGUCAAAUUUAGGAAGUAAGAGGCUUUAUCUUUUAUAGGCCAGGUCAUUUAUUCUCCCAAUUUAAUGAAACCUUAGCUGUCUAGGAGUGUGUGUUAGCUUAACAGAGAUUAUUAGAAAAGGAAUAUGAUCCUAUAAAUAAAUUAGCAUAAAGAUUUGAAACUAACUAUAAAUAUACUGUUAUAUUAAAAUAUAGUGGAUAACAGUGGUUCUUUGAGCCCGGUCCUCAAACCAACAGCAUCAGCCAACACCUGGAAACUUAUUAGAAGUGAAAAUUCUUGGACUCUGUCUCAUGCUUCUUUAAUCCAAAACACUAGGGGUGGAGCCCAGCAACUUGCUUUCAAUGAGGAGCAUUGCAGAGAAAUUUAUGUCCUUAAAUUUGAAUCAGAGGCAUAUUUAUUCCUGGCCAUUUCCAUAUAGAAAUUAAUUUAACCUUCAGUUCAUUGGAAACUUAAGUCAGCUCUAAUAUUCUAAUCCUUGAUCAUACCUGUUGAUUAAAACAUUGUAGUUAUCUUUUCUAUCACAAUAUUUAGAAACUUAUUGAUAUUAAUAUUUAGAACAGCAUCUGAUUAAAUACCACAGGGGUUUAAUUGUGGUUACAAUUCUAGCAAAAUAUUUUAAAUAGCAAGAAUAUAAGAUAGGUGCUUUAAUGUUUCUAAGCCACAGCCAGUAUACUGGCUUUAACAUACCUAUUAGGAAUUAUGUCAGAAAAUAAAAAAUAAUGUCAAAAUUGCACAAUAUCACAUUAACUAUUCAGAAAUAUUUAAGAUCUGGUGUGACUUGAGAAUAGAAUACCAAAUAUCUGUUUAUAGAAGUCUCCUGUGGAGUUGAGGUGGAGAACUGCAGGGCAGAAUAAUAUUCUCAAAUCUCUU